UGCAACGAAGGUGGGGCAGGCUGUGGCCAAGACUCCUCCAGGAAGUUUGUCUCUUUCUACUCCUCAACUCCAGUUGUAGUCAGCAUCCAGCAACCUUCUCUGAGGUCCUCUCAGAUCAAGGGGAAAGAGGACAGUUUUUCUUUGGUCCUUAAGAAUCCAGCUUCCGAGUCUCAGACGGGCCCGCGGUGGAGUCCAUGGCUUCCCAAUCUACCCCCUACAACCCCACGCCCCGCACUAUUUCGCGGAAGGUGAGCGCGUGCCCCACCCUCGUCCUUUCUCGCCCCAGCCGCCUCCCCCGCAAGUCCUGCGACGCUCGUUCAAGGGAAUGGCUUUUAUUUAUUAGGGUCAGUGGGCCCCAGCACAGCAGGGACAAAGGGCGUGUGGACGCGGAGGAGUACGGUGGGAAGCAAGGUCUUGAU
Tupaia belangeri chinensis (Chinese tree shrew) is the source of this 419-nucleotide long non-coding RNA. RefSeq lists it as uncharacterized. NCBI's taxonomy places the organism in Eukaryota, Metazoa, Chordata, Mammalia, Scandentia, Tupaiidae. The transcript has 2 exons. The record is from RefSeq and is a predicted model, not a curated record.